AAUGGCGCCGGCUAACCAUGCAGUCGAGCGGCAGCACGGGGAGCUUGCUCCCUGGUGGCGAGCGGCGGACGGGUGAGUAAUGCAUAGGAAUCUGCCCGGUAGUGGGGGAUAACCUGGGGAAACCCAGGCUAAUACCGCAUACGUCCUACGGGAGAAAGCAGGGGACCUUCGGGCCUUGCGCUAUCGGAUGAGCCUAUGUCGGAUUAGCUGGUUGGUGAGGUAAUGGCUCACCAAGGCGACGAUCCGUAGCUGGUCUGAGAGGAUGAUCAGCCACAUCGGGACUGAGACACGGCCCGAACUCCUACGGGAGGCAGCAGUGGGGAAUAUUGGACAAUGGGCGCAAGCCUGAUCCAGCCAUGCCGCGUGUGUGAAGAAGGCCCUCGGGUUGUAAAGCACUUUCAGUGGGGAAGAAAGCCUUCCGGUUAAUACCCGGGAGGAGGGACAUUUCACCUUCACAGAAGAAGCACCGGCUAACUCCGUGCCAGCAGCCGCGGUAAUACGGAGGGUGCGAGCGUUAAGUCGGAAUUACUGGGCGUAAAGCGCGCGUAGGCGGCUUGAUAAGCCGGUUGUGAAAGCCCCGGGCUCAACCCUGGCGGAACGGCAUCCGGAACUGUCAGGCUAGAGUGCAGGAGAGGAAGGUAGAAUUCCCGGUGUAGCGGUGAUUUCAAUGCGUAGAGAUCGGGAGGAAUACCAGUGGCGAAGGCGGCCUUCUGGACUGACACUGACGCUGAGGUGCUGCGAAAGCGUGGGUAGCAAACAGGAUUAGAUACCCUGGUAGUCCACGCCGUAAACGAUGUCGACUAGCCGUUGGGGGUCCUUCGCGGACUUUGUGGCGCAGUUAACGCGAUAAGUCGACCGCCUGGGGAGUACGGCCGCAAGGUUAAAACUCAAAUGAAUUGACGGGGGCCCGCACAAGCGGUGGAGCAUGUGGUUUAAUUCGAUGCAACGCGACCAGAACCUUACCUACCCUUGACAUCCUGCGAACCCUUCGAGAAAAUGACGAAGGGGUGCCUUCGGGAACGCAGAGAAUCAGGGUGCUGCAUGCUUGUCGUCAGCUCGUGUUGUGAAAUGUUGGGUUAAGUCCCGUAACGAGCCGCAACGCCUUGUCCCUAUUUGCAGCGAUCCGGUCGGGACUCUAGGGAAGACUGCCGGGUGAACAAACCCGAGAAGGUGGGGAGGACGUCAGUCAUCUGGGCCCUUACGGGUAGGCCUAC
RNAcentral lists this ribosomal RNA (1214 nucleotides) under Halomonas sp. CHS6. RNAcentral's name for it is "bacterial SSU rRNA". It matches the Rfam family "Bacterial small subunit ribosomal RNA", at positions 38 to 1217 of the family's 1533-position model. The record is from RNAcentral. Lineage: Bacteria; Pseudomonadati; Pseudomonadota; Gammaproteobacteria; Oceanospirillales; Halomonadaceae.